This 61-nucleotide microRNA precursor is filed under the name Panagrellus redivivus. RNAcentral describes it as "microRNA prd-mir-242 precursor". Its record names the gene prd-mir-242. Lineage: Eukaryota; Metazoa; Nematoda; Chromadorea; Rhabditida; Panagrolaimidae. The record is from miRBase by way of RNAcentral.
UUGCGUAGGCACUUUGUCACCGAUGGCGUAUGGCAUUCUCGAUGCAAAGAGCUAUGCAACC